Long non-coding RNA from Solanum tuberosum (potato), 782 nucleotides. RefSeq lists it as uncharacterized. The transcript is spliced from 3 exons. The record is from RefSeq and is a predicted model, not a curated record. Lineage: Eukaryota; Viridiplantae; Streptophyta; Magnoliopsida; Solanales; Solanaceae.
UUAAGCAUUCCAAGUAAUCUGUUCUGUGGUUAAUGACAGGUUAAAUUGAAUUGAUGCUUUCAUUAAUUAAGCAACAAGUUAGGCUGAAGUUGUUGCUCGAGUCGUUCAGUUUUUUGAAAGGAAUAUUGUUUAAUUUGAUACCUCAAGGUUAGUUUUGUAAAAAGAUGAAUUGAUAACUACUAAAUCUUCGCCAAACAGCUACAAAAAGGCUUUGAGAAUGAUGAAAUGUGCUGAUCAUUGUGUCUCGUUACAUUUGUUGACACUCCAGGGGAUUUUGCUUAUUUAAGAUCUGAAGAGCUGGCUUAAAGUUCCAAUCAUAACGGUUGUAACUAAUGAAGGUGGUUCAGGCAGAGCUCUUGCCAUCAAAUGUGGUUAAUGUUCAAAAUUUUACGUUACUAGAAAGAGAAGUCAUUUUGCGGCCUGGGGAAGUUGUUGAGCCGAAAGAUAAAUGUUUCUAGUUUGAGAGUUCAUCGCCAUCUUUGUUAGCCAGUCUGCAAGUUGAUUGGCUUCUCUGUAGCAAUGCUCAAACUUGAUACUAGCAAGAUGUAGAAUUGAAGAAGUAGCUUCUAUGAGCAAGAGGGAAUGGUCAGUAGGUUUGAAGGUAACCUUACUCUUUUUCUUUGGCAUCUUUUUUGUUUUCUUCCUUGUAAUUUUUUCCGUUUUUGUUCUCGACAACUUUAGAUGUAAAGACUAGGACUUGUUUGCCUUUGUCGUUGGUAUCAUGGCCAUUCUGUAAAUCUCAUCAUUACUAAGCUCUGUGUUGUUCUGUUCCUGUAGAUUAA